AGUGAACGCUGGCGGUAGGCCUAACACAUGCAAGUCGAACGGCAGCACAGUAAGAGCUUGCUCUUACGGGUGGCGAGUGGCGGACGGGUGAGGAAUACAUCGGAAUCUACUUUUUCGUGGGGGAUAACGUAGGGAAACUUACGCUAAUACCGCAUACGACCUACGGGUGAAAGCAGGGGAUCUUCGGACCUUGCGCGAUUGAAUGAGCCGAUGUCGGAUUAGCUAGUUGGCGGGGUAAAGGCCCACCAAGGCGACGAUCCGUAGCUGGUCUGAGAGGAUGAUCGGCAAAACGGGACUUGAGACACGUUCCAGAUUCUAAGGGGAGGCAGCAGUGGGGAAUAUGGGCAAAUGGGCGAAAGCCUGAUCAAGCCAUACGGGGUGGGUGAAGAAGGCCUUCGGGUUGUAAAGCCCUUUUGUGGGGAAAAAAAGCCAGCAGGUUAAAACCCGGCGGUUUGGACGGAACCAAAGGAAUAAGCACCGCUUAACUUCGU
Molecule: ribosomal RNA, 491 nt
Filed under: uncultured bacterium
Lineage: Bacteria
Description: partial 16S ribosomal RNA
Rfam family: Bacterial small subunit ribosomal RNA
Source: RNAcentral